AACUGAAGAGUUUGAUCAUGGCUCAGAUUGAACGCUGGCGGCAGGCUUAACACAUGCAAGUCGAGCGGGGGAAGGUAGCUUGCUACUGGACCUAGCGGCGGACGGGUGAGUAAUGCUUAGGAAUCUGCCUAUUAGUGGGGGACAACAUCUCGAAAGGGAUGCUAAUACCGCAUACGUCCUACGGGAGAAAGCAGGGGAUCUUCGGACCUUGCGCUAAUAGAUGAGCCUAAGUCGGAUUAGCUAGUUGGUGGGGU
This 254-nucleotide ribosomal RNA is filed under the name Acinetobacter baumannii. RNAcentral's name for it is "partial 16S ribosomal RNA". It matches the Rfam family "Bacterial small subunit ribosomal RNA", at positions 1 to 258 of the family's 1533-position model. RNAcentral also lists the same sequence under 1 other name. The record is from RNAcentral. Lineage: Bacteria; Pseudomonadati; Pseudomonadota; Gammaproteobacteria; Moraxellales; Moraxellaceae.